Molecule: ribosomal RNA, 253 nt
Filed under: uncultured bacterium
Lineage: Bacteria
Description: partial 16S ribosomal RNA
Rfam family: Bacterial small subunit ribosomal RNA
Source: RNAcentral
UACGUAGGGGGCAAGCGUUGUCCGGAAUUAUUGGGCGUAAAGGGCGCGCAGGCGGCUACGCACGUCCGUUGUGAAAUCGCUCGGCUCAACUGGGCGGGGUCAGCGGAUACGGCGUAGCUGGAGCAAGCUAGGGGGCAAUGGAAUUCCCGGUGUAGUGGUGGAAUGCGUAGAUAUCGGGAGGAACACCAGUGGCGAAGGCGGUUGCCUGGAGCUUUGCUGACGCUGAGGCGCGAAAGCGUGGGGAGCGAUCCGG